Molecule: small nucleolar RNA, 107 nt
Filed under: Gossypium hirsutum (cotton)
Lineage: Eukaryota; Viridiplantae; Streptophyta; Magnoliopsida; Malvales; Malvaceae
Description: Plant small nucleolar RNA R71
Rfam family: Plant small nucleolar RNA R71
About the family: R71 is a member of the C/D box family of snoRNAs containing the C (UGAUGA) and D (CUGA) box motifs. Multiple nearly identical copies of this snoRNA have been identified in Arabidopsis, and it is thought to function as a 2'-O-ribose methylation guide for 18S ribosomal RNA.
Source: Rfam by way of RNAcentral
AAUCCAUGCAUUGGGCACUUCCAAAUUAAAUCUUUAAAUCGUUCCCAAGCUUCAUAUAGUAUUUUAUCCUCUAAUUGCUGAAAAAAUGCGAUGUCAUUUCUAAGCUU